GCAGGUUGAUGUCAGUAGAGGAGGAGCUGAAGAAGGAUCACGCGGAGAUGCAAGCAGCCGUAGACUCCAAACAGAAGAUCAUCGAUGCCCAGGAGAAGCGCAUCGCCUCACUGGACGCGGCCAACGCCCGCCUCAUGAGCGCCCUGACACAGCUGAAAGAGAGGUACAGCAUGCAAGCCCGUAACGGCAUCUCCCCCACCAACCCCACCAAAUUGCAGAUUACCGAGAACGGCGAGUUCCGAAACAGCAGCAAUUGUUAACCUGCCCGAGGAGAGGGAGGACUGUGGUGGCCCAGGGCGGGGUCUCGGCCUGGGGAGGAGCAGCCCCAGCGCAGGGGGCGAGAGGCCGAGGCUCGCCUCCCCCUCCACCCAAGGUCCAGGAGGCGGCCGCAGAGGGAGCCUCGAGAGACUGAGCAGCGAGAGCGGGGGCACCGGCCCGCUCCCCGAGAAGCGAGUUCGGUGCAGGCCAAAGAGACUGCAGGCUGGGGAGUGGGGACAGCCUGGGGGGGAGCAGGGGCCUGCCGCAGCGUGUCUCUGUUGGCGUUGAAUGUGGCGUGGCGUGCAUCACCUGGCCGAGUUCACCAACCCCUCCUCCCCAGGGAGGGAGCUGCCCGGAGAGGUGGCGGGUGGAAGAGCCCAGGGCCUGUUCGCGUGGCGUGUUCCCGUGGCUUCCCCGUGCCUCCUGCCCUGUGGGCCUGCCCCUCAGUUCCAGGAGCUGACUGUCUGCAGGCAGGGAGAGGGUGCGGGGGAUGGAGCCGCCAGAGUUCUGGGUCCCCACCCGUCUCCACCCUGAGCACCUGUCACUGCAUGCGCGGGGACCCUCCCUGGCCGUGAGAAACCAAGGAUUCACCCCCAUACCUGUCCCAGACUCUCCACCUUCCCCCUUCUGCCCUCCCUUCCUAACCUGUUCUGCCACACAAACCCGCUGGGGAUCGCAGCCCUUUUUUAUUCUGGGCCCUCGUACCUGCGGGCAGCUCCAGAGCCUCCGUCAUUUGCUAUGUGGGCGCGGGCUGAUGCUCUGGGGCUCCCCCAGCCAAAGAUCUGGGCAGAGUUGGCGCCGGAGGCACCGCGUGGUGCCUGCCCUUCUCUUGGAGCUAGUGUACCAGGGUGCAGUGGCCCCGCAGGGAGUGGCCAGCUGGUGCUGCCCCCGAGAGACAGGCUGAGCUGUCCUGAUUGAUGGUUAAAAAAAAAUUCUAACACCCACAGGCCCUGAGAAGGUGGAUAACUGUGAUUUUUUUUCCUUUCACAGUAUGCAUUAGAAACAAAAGCCCGCUUGCUCGCUUGCUGGAACACAGGGGCCUUUUAAAUUGAGCGUGCGCACUGCAUGGGAAAUAGCGGCCCUGGAGGAUGUUAGACUUGCUCCCUCUCCAAGACAGCAGCAGCCUGCACCCGCCCGCGUGUGCGGCGGCCUCUGCCUCACCCCUCCCGGGCCCAGCCUCGGACCCAGGCGCUGCAGACAGGGGAGGGGCACACCCCAGCGCGGGGCCCACCCCCUCAGCGCUAGGCUAUUCUGUAGCUGGUCAGCCCUCCCCGCCCCCCUUGUGGGACAUAAGUGGGCAGGAGCUUGGGUCUCUCUUGUCCCUCCUGGGUCCCACCCCUGGCCCUGGGGAACCCCCCGGCAAGAGCUGGGGCGCUUGCCCCACAGGGGAGCUGGGCUGGGUCCGCUGUGGGAGCUGCCCCUUUUGCCUCAGCCCUACGAAGCUGAGGAGGCCCUUUCUGCUCCUGGGGUUGGAGACUCCACUGGAAGAGGGGCGCGGGCGGAGUGGCCCACGUGCACCCCAUCCUGGGCCUGUGCUCUGGGCGGGGCUCUUAGAUGAAGCCCGCAGGUCCCUUAGGCCAGAGCCCUGCUGGUGGGGAGAGGGCAGGACCCCCUGGGGUCAGACCUCAGGAAGGAGGGCCUUGGGGCUGAGGCCCGGCCCCACUCCUCCGGCCGCAGGGGCAGGGCCUGGCCCAGCGACGCCCUCCUCUGGUUCAGUCUCGCCCCUGCUACCCAGUGCGCCCGCCCCUCCUCCCUCCCCCCUCCCCCACCGCUGCCUCGUCGCGAGACCUCGGACCCAGCGCCUCUUAGCAAUACAGGGGGAGGUUCCCAGGGCCUGGCCCUCGGGCUCAGGAGGCCAGCUGGGGCCGGUGCUGGCGGCCCUUGGCCUGGGUUGUGAGUUCUCAGGCCAAGAGCCUUACUUAGUGCAAAAACUGUAAAAGUGUACAGACUCUCCACAGAUUUUUAUCUGAAUUGCAAGUCUGACAAUUUUUGUAAAUGUUCUUGGUGUUUGACUGUAAUGUAACUAUUUCAAAACCUAAUGGUUGUACAUAGUCCUUUAGUCCUGGUGCUGCCGAGGGCUGCCCGGGACCGCUGCUCUCCGAUGGUUUUUAUUUUAUUUUUAAUCUAGAGAACAGUAUUGGGCAGGAGGCAGAGGUUGGGGAUUUGGGCAUGGGGGUUCGUCCCUGCUUGUGACAUUGAUUUGUUGGCUUUGCGGCACGCUGUCGGGGUGAGGUGGGGACGUGUACCCACGUCCCAGAGGGCAGGUGGGCGAGGGAAGACAAGUCCCUGUUGGGGGGCCCCAGGCCCCAGGCCCAGCCUUGCUGGAGAAGGCUCUCCCCUCCCCUCUCCUGCCAACAGAGGCCUGACUUUUUUUGCUUGACUUUCAUGUUUAGGGUGAAGGAAAACUGCCAAACUUCCUAUAAGCGAAGACUCUUUCUGACUGCCCAGAGGGGGGUGGGGAGCCAAGGCCAGAGCUCCAGGAGCCCCCACCCGGCAGGGCAUCUGCCCCGGGUGCGCCCCCGCCCCCCACACCCCGUCUGUCUGCAGCAGGCAGACUGUCCAGGGAAACAGCCCCUCUUUUCUACACACUCGGCCCCAAGCUGCCCCCCGCCCCCACUCCACCUCCCUGCCCCCCCUUUUGUAAGUAUGUGAAAAGGAAAAAAUGCAAACGGAGUCCUGGCCGGAGCUCCUCCCUCCAGCUGUGACUCUAUGUAAUAAUGUACAGAGAAAGUUGUUGGUGUUCUAAGACUGUGUGGCUGUGCAAUUUCUGUACAUUUGCAAUUAGAAAUAUUAAAGAUUUAUUUAGCUAUUU
This 3070-nucleotide long non-coding RNA is filed under the name Sus scrofa (pig). RNAcentral's name for it is "lncRNA (ENSSSCG00060058582.1)". The record is from RNAcentral. Lineage: Eukaryota; Metazoa; Chordata; Mammalia; Artiodactyla; Suidae.